This 486-nucleotide ribosomal RNA is filed under the name Pseudoalteromonas translucida. RNAcentral describes it as "bacterial SSU rRNA". It matches the Rfam family "Bacterial small subunit ribosomal RNA", at positions 107 to 594 of the family's 1533-position model. Lineage: Bacteria; Pseudomonadati; Pseudomonadota; Gammaproteobacteria; Alteromonadales; Pseudoalteromonadaceae. The record is from RNAcentral.
UGAGUAAUGCUUGGGAACAUGCCUUGAGGUGGGGGACAACAGUUGGAAACGACUGCUAAUACCGCAUAAUGUCUACGGACCAAAGGGGGCUUCGGCUCUCGCCUUUAGAUUGGCCCAAGUGGGAUUAGCUAGUUGGUGAGGUAAUGGCUCACCAAGGCGACGAUCCCUAGCUGGUUUGAGAGGAUGAUCAGCCACACUGGGACUGAGACACGGCCCAGACUCCUACGGGAGGCAGCAGUGGGGAAUAUUGCACAAUGGGCGCAAGCCUGAUGCAGCCAUGCCGCGUGUGUGAAGAAGGCCUUCGGGUUGUAAAGCACUUUCAGUCAGGAGGAAAGCGUGGUGGUUAAUACCCAUCAUGUGUGACGUUACUGACAGAAGAAGCACCGGCUAACUCCGUGCCAGCAGCCGCGGUAAUACGGAGGGUGCGAGCGUUAAAUCGGAAUUACUGGGCGUAAAGCGUACGCAGGCGGUUUGUUAAGCGAGAUG